AUACGGAGGGUGCAAGCGUUACUCGGAAUCACUGGGCGUAAAGCGCGCGCAGGCGGGCUGAUAAGUUGGAUGUGAAAGCCUACGGCUCAACCGUAGAACUGCAUCCAAAACUGUCAGUCUAGAGUCUGGGAGGGGAAGAUGGAAUUAGUUGUGUAGGGGUAAAAUCCGUAGAGAUAACUAGGAAUACCAAAAGCGAAGGCGAUCUUCUGGAACAGUACUGACGCUGAGGCGCGAAAGCGUGGGGAGCAAACAGUAUUAGAAACCCCAGUAGUCC
RNAcentral lists this ribosomal RNA (274 nucleotides) under uncultured bacterium. Its description in RNAcentral is "partial 16S ribosomal RNA". It matches the Rfam family "Bacterial small subunit ribosomal RNA", at positions 523 to 796 of the family's 1533-position model. The record is from RNAcentral.